RNAcentral lists this ribosomal RNA (200 nucleotides) under uncultured organism. RNAcentral describes it as "partial small subunit ribosomal RNA". It matches the Rfam family "Archaeal small subunit ribosomal RNA", at positions 1140 to 1338 of the family's 1478-position model. The record is from RNAcentral.
GGCAGGUCAGUAUGCCCCGAAACCCUCGGGCCACACGCGGGCUGCAAUGGUAAGGACAGCGAGUUCCGAUUCCGAAAGGAGGAGGCAAUCUCCCAAACCUUACCUCAGUUAUGAUUGAGGGCUGAAACUCGCCCUCAUGAAUAUGGAAUCCCUAGUAACCGCGUGUCACCAUCGCGCGGUGAAUACCGUCCCUGCUCCUU